This 317-nucleotide ribosomal RNA is filed under the name uncultured Cantharellales. RNAcentral's name for it is "partial large subunit ribosomal RNA". It matches the Rfam family "Eukaryotic large subunit ribosomal RNA", at positions 40 to 350 of the family's 3401-position model. Lineage: Eukaryota; Fungi; Basidiomycota; Agaricomycetes; Cantharellales. The record is from RNAcentral.
AUAUUAAUAAGCGGAGGAAAAGAAACUAACAAGGAUUCCCCUAGUAACGGCGAGUGAAGCGGGAAAAGCUCAAAUUUAAAAUCUGGCAGUCUUUGGCUGUCCGAGUUGUAAUCUAGAGAAGCGUUUUCUGCGCUGGACUGUAGACAAGUCUCCUGGAACGGAGCGUCAUAGAGGGUGAGAAUCCCGUCCUUGCUACAGAUCCCCAGUGCUCUACGAUGCGCUCUCAACGAGUCGAGUAGUUUGGGAUGCUGCUCAAAAUGGGAGGUAAAUUCCUUCUAAAGCUAAAAUAUUGGCGAGAGACCGAUAGCGCACAAGUA